UACGAAGGGGGCUAGCGUUGCUCGGAAUGACUGGGCGUAAAGGGCGCGUAGGCGGAUCUGACAGUCAGGCGUGAAAUUCCCGGGCUCAACCUGGGGGCUGCGUUUGAUACGUGAGGUCUGGAGUGCGGAAGAGGGUCGUGGAAUUCCCAGUGUAGAGGUGAAAUUCGUAGAUAUUGGGAAGAACACCGGUGGCGAAGGCGGCGACCUGGUCCGUGACUGACGCUGAGGCGCGAAAGCGUGGGGAGCAAAC
RNAcentral lists this ribosomal RNA (250 nucleotides) under uncultured bacterium. RNAcentral's name for it is "partial 16S ribosomal RNA". It matches the Rfam family "Bacterial small subunit ribosomal RNA", at positions 524 to 773 of the family's 1533-position model. The record is from RNAcentral.